GAUCCUGGCUCAGGAUGAACGCUAGCGACAGGCUUAACACAUGCAAGUCGAGGGGCAGCACGGGGUAGCAAUACCCCGGUGGCGACCGGCGCACGGGUGAGUAACACGUGUGCAACCAACCCCGUACCGGGAGAUAACCCGCGGAAACGUGGACCAACACCCAAUAAGACCUUUCCCCGCAUGGGGGGAGUUUAAAACCCCGGUGGUACGGGACGGGCACGCGCGACAUUAGGUAGUUGGCGGGGUAACGGCCCACCAAGCCGACGAUGUCUAGGGGUU
RNAcentral lists this ribosomal RNA (279 nucleotides) under uncultured bacterium. RNAcentral describes it as "partial 16S ribosomal RNA". It matches the Rfam family "Bacterial small subunit ribosomal RNA", at positions 15 to 291 of the family's 1533-position model. The record is from RNAcentral.